AGCGAACAGGAUUAGAUACCCUGGUAGUCCAUGCCGUAAACGUUGGGCACUAGGUGUGGGGGACAUUCCACGUUUUCCGCGCCGUAGCUAACGCAUUAAGUGCCCCGCCUGGGGAGUACGGCCCGCAAGGCUAAAACUCAAAGGAAUUGACGGGGGCCCGCACAAGCGGCGGAGCAUGCGGAUUAAUUCGAUGCAACGCGAAGAACCUUACCAAGGCUUGACAUGUGCCAGACCGCUCCAGAGAUGGGGUUUCCCUUCGGGGCUGGUUCACAGGUGGUGCAUGGUUGUCGUCAGCUCGUGUCGUGAGAUGUUGGGUUAAGUCCCGCAACGAGCGCAACCCUCGUUCCAUGUUGCCAGCACGUAGUGGUGGGGACUCAUGGGAGACUGCCGGGGUCAACUCGGAGGAAGGUGGGGAUGACGUCAAAUCAUCAUGCCCCUUAUGUCUUGGGCUUCACGCAUGCUACAAUGGCCGGUACAAUGGGUUGCGAUACUGUGAGGUGGAGCUAAUCCCUAAAAGCCGGUCUCAGUUCGGAUUGGGGUCUGCAACUCGACCCCAUGAAGUCGGAGUCGCUAGUAAUCGCAGAUCAGCAACGCUGCGGUGAAUACGUUCCCGGGCCUUGUACACACCGCCCGGCAAGUCACGAAAGUUGGUAA
RNAcentral lists this ribosomal RNA (654 nucleotides) under Arthrobacter sp. Its description in RNAcentral is "bacterial SSU rRNA". It matches the Rfam family "Bacterial small subunit ribosomal RNA", at positions 767 to 1417 of the family's 1533-position model. Lineage: Bacteria; Bacillati; Actinomycetota; Actinomycetes; Micrococcales; Micrococcaceae. The record is from RNAcentral.